CACCUGAUAGCACAUGGUGUGCACCUGCACCAGUUUAGUGACAGCUUUCCUAAUAAGAUUAAGCAGGAGACCCUCGUUCGAUUUGGGGUCGGGUGA
This is a non-coding RNA of Mycena metata, 96 nucleotides long. The record is from the annotation of a GenBank genome assembly. Lineage: Eukaryota; Fungi; Basidiomycota; Agaricomycetes; Agaricales; Mycenaceae.